This is a long non-coding RNA of Varanus komodoensis (Komodo dragon), 2372 nucleotides long. RefSeq lists it as uncharacterized. The record is from RefSeq and is a predicted model, not a curated record. The transcript has 3 exons. Lineage: Eukaryota; Metazoa; Chordata; Lepidosauria; Squamata; Varanidae.
AUUUGAUGAUCGAUGUUUUUUAGUUUUUAGUUUAAAAUCUUUAUAAAAAUCUUUAUAAAAAAAAAAAGGAGCCCGAAUGCAUGCAAAUCCCACUGAUAAGCCUGAGUCUUACUAGCACCAAGGCAGAGGCCGCCCUAGGAAAUCCAUGAGGCUUUCCCAGGAAUAUCACGGUCAUUUUCACAGUUCACCUGUUUUCCUCUGAAGAGCUUCAGCCAAGCACUUGCAAGCAGCACACAAGAAAGAAUGCAUAACCCGGUGUGCAGGUAAAUAUAGAACAUGGGGUAUUGACUUGCAGGUUGGUUGGAGGAAGCUGGGAGCCGUAGUCCAAGCUUCUGGCGGGCACCCAGUUGGAGAAGGCUGUGCUAGGAAGUUGAAGAUUCUGCUCUUCUGCAAAGCUGGGGCAGUUCAGGGGCAGGAAAGCGGGGAGAAGCGCAUUUCCCUGCACAGCAUGGGAAGGGGCUCCCUUACCUGGUACAGGUGCCCUGCCUACUUCUGAGCAGGCUGCUUGUAUUUCCAGACAGACCUCUUACCGAAUAGCGCCAACAAGGACGGUGGAAUGGGGUUGGUCUCUCAGCCGCACCCACUUUACCUCUGACGGCUCCCACCACCAGAAUGUCCCGCCCCUUUCCUUGGGGGUGUCUCCAAAACAGAAGCCACCCCUUGGGCUUCAAAGGGCCCUGCUCUUGCAACGGGCUGGCUGGCGCAGGGAUUUCAAGAGAGCUGCAGGGAGGGGCAAACUCAAAAGGCCUCGUGCCGGCCUCCCGCGACAACUCGCUCCUCGCCAGGGAGGCUUGCAGGUGCUUGCAGCAAGCACGGGCCUUCGAACCCAGCAGUAAAAAAGAAUUAAUGCCAAGGCAGCUGCUUUUACGCCCUCCCUCGCUCUUAAAGCCUCUUGGCCAAACUCCCUGCCUGUGGUCCGUUUUCGCCCAUCUGCUCGCACAAAAGGGGCCGAGGGAGAGUGAGCUGGGAGGCUGACAUCGGGGCAUUCCUGCGCACUGCUUCACCUUUGCGUUUUAGCAUUCCUGGCAAGGAAGACACGGCACUACCCCACGCAAGUGCACGCAUGACCACGCCACCCACGGCUCCGGGCUCGUGCCUGCCAUCUUGCCGCUCACGCUUGCUUGGGGCGGUCGCGGCUAAAUCAGCAAAAAAAUAAUGACGAGCUUGUCCGCUUCCCAUCUUGAAGGCAUUUUAAGCAAAACUGGGCAGCCGGCCUCUUCACACUUCAGAGGAAUCCUGUAACAUACUUGGCACACGGGAACUGCUUGCCCUGGAGAAAGCUCUCCGUCCCAGCCUCCUUAAACGGGAGGAAACCCCGCAGAGACACUUCUCAUGUAAUGCAUGAAGCACUCGGUUUAGGAGAGCACUGAGAGACACAUGCGGAACGCGCCCGUUUGAACAGGUUGCUCGGCAUUCUGCAGAAAUGCAUGGCUGAAUCGGCUCUCAAGCACGAGCGAUUCAUGAGGGGCAUCCCCCAAAUUGAAGAAAUAACCCCUGAAGGAUGGCUAAAUCACUCAUCCAUGAUAACCGUUCUAAGGAAGAAAUCCCUUUGUUAUAGAUGAUGCCACCAACCGGGACAAAAUAGGGGCCCAGACAAGCAAACAAACCUUAAGAGAGAAGAAACAGAGAGUUUCUCUGUCAAGGAAUCUGUAAUUUGUGGUCUGCAAACUUCCCAAGCCCUUUCAUGCAAAAAGCAACAUCUGCCCCACCAGCCUUUUUUCUCAGCACCCUCAUCUGGGCAGGAAGCAGGGAUCUUGGCACUGUUCAAAAGCAAGGAGGUGAGAUCUCCCAAGAGGUCAAGACCACCAAGAGAUCUCCCGGGAAAUUGAGUUACGACCGGCCCAUCCCCAUCUCUUGCACAGAGGAAGGAGCAGAAUUAAAUGGGGGAACAAAAAGACUUGCAUCUAAAGAUGGGUGGUCUUGGAGGUCUUCUCGUUCAUAUCCUACUCAACGCCCUGAAAGAUGGCUGUCCAAGCCUCCAAUGAAAUGCCUCCAGUGAAGGAGGGCCCGUUACUUCCUGAGGCGGCUUGCAGUCCUGUCCAAAGUGUUGGUUAUUAGGAUGCUUAGGAGAAAUUUGCUUCCCUGCAAAUUACAUCCACCGCUCUGUUCUUGUCUUCUGGAACCACAGAGGACAAAUAUGCCCCAACCAUCAGCCUGCAACUCCUCCAGAGAGCUGAAGGUUGCCUUCUUCUGGAUGCACUCUAGCUUGCCAAGAGCCUUCUGAAAAUCCAGGAUGGAACCCUUAUUCCAGAAGAAUUCCGACCAGUGGAAAGUUCUUACAGGCUGAAUCGGUGUGAUAAAAGGAAGGCAGGAACACACCACUGCCCGAGGGGAGGCAUUAAAGAUAUAAUGAAUACAUCUCAAACCAUGGA